GACAGAGGGGGCAAGCGUUGCUCGGAAUCACUGGGCGUAAAGGGCGCGUAGGCGGGAUGACAAGUCGGUCGUGAAAUCCCUGGGCUCAACUCAGGGGGGUCGGCCGAUACUGUCAUUCUUGAGGGAUGCAGAGGAGACUGGAAUUCCCGGUGUAGCGGUGAAAUGUGUAGAGAUCGGGAGGAACACCGGUGGCGAAGGCGGGUCUCUGGGCAUUCCCUGACGCUGAGGCGCGAAAGCGUGGGGAGCAAACGGG
Molecule: ribosomal RNA, 253 nt
Filed under: uncultured bacterium
Lineage: Bacteria
Description: partial 16S ribosomal RNA
Rfam family: Bacterial small subunit ribosomal RNA
Source: RNAcentral